UACGUAGGUGGCAAGCGUUGUUCGGAAUUACUGGGCGUAAAGGGCGCGUAGGCGGUUCGUUAAGUCCUGUGUGAAAUCCCCCGGCUCAACUGGGGAACUGCACAGGAAACUAGCGGGCUUGAGUUCGGGAGAGGGAAGCGGAAUUCCGGGUGUAGCGGUGAAAUGCGUAGAUAUCCGGAGGAACACCGGUGGCGAAGGCGGCUUCCUGGACCGACACUGACGCUGAGGCGCGAAAGCUAGGGGAGCAAACGGG
This 253-nucleotide ribosomal RNA is filed under the name uncultured bacterium. RNAcentral's name for it is "partial 16S ribosomal RNA". It matches the Rfam family "Bacterial small subunit ribosomal RNA", at positions 524 to 776 of the family's 1533-position model. The record is from RNAcentral.